This 249-nucleotide long non-coding RNA is filed under the name Mytilus galloprovincialis (Mediterranean mussel). Lineage: Eukaryota; Metazoa; Mollusca; Bivalvia; Mytilida; Mytilidae. The record is from RNAcentral.
GUUUUGAUUUAUAUAAUUGAUAUAAAUCAAAACAUCGUGUUAUUUCUGAUUAAUUUUUCGAAUCACUUUAUUAAGGUGUUGAGAACCUUUGGUGACCCCAUAGUUUAAGUGUCUUUAAAAAGUACAUAGUGAGCAGUGGUCGUUACAUACAAACGUUCACCUAAGUUGUCCCAGUCAAUGGAUGAAUUUAAUGUGUCAAUCAAUGGCCACAGCCACACUGUUUUGAAUUUCAUUCUAUAACUAUUUGCU